Molecule: ribosomal RNA, 385 nt
Filed under: uncultured eukaryote
Lineage: Eukaryota
Description: partial 18S ribosomal RNA
Rfam family: Eukaryotic small subunit ribosomal RNA
Source: RNAcentral
CAAUAGCGUAUAUUAAAGUUGUCGCAGUUAAAAAGCUCGUAGUUGGACUUCUGCGGGUGGCGGCCGGUCGUGCCCUUAUGUGGCGUGAACUUGGCUCUUUGCCGCCCGCAUCUUUGGGGAGAUUGUGCGUGGCAUUAGGUUGUCGUGCAUGGGAUUCUCAUCAUUUACUGUGAAAAAAUUAGAGUGUUUAAAGCAGGCCUUUGCCUUGAAUACAUUAGCAUGGAAUAAUAAGAUAGGACCGUUGUCUAUUUUGUUGGUUUACAGAUGUCGGUAAUGAUUAAUAGGGAUAGUUGGGGGUAUUCGUAUUCAGUUGUCAGAGGUGAAAUUCUUGGAUUUUCGGAAGACGCACGACUGCGAAAGCAUUUACCAAGGAUGUUUUCAUUAA